Molecule: non-coding RNA, 31 nt
Filed under: Mus musculus (house mouse)
Lineage: Eukaryota; Metazoa; Chordata; Mammalia; Rodentia; Muridae
Also listed under: 1 other name
Source: RNAcentral
UUAUUGUAGAUAAAAGGGACAGCAUACCAGA